This is a non-coding RNA of Rattus norvegicus (Norway rat), 26669 nucleotides long. The record is from RefSeq and is a predicted model, not a curated record. Lineage: Eukaryota; Metazoa; Chordata; Mammalia; Rodentia; Muridae.
UUUAUUUAGAAUAUUUUUUAAGUAUUAAGGUUUGAUUAAUUGGUAGUUUUUUAUUUCUGUAUAUUACUGAGUAGAAUAUUGACUUGUUCAGAUAAAGUUGUACAACAGAAAACUAUCAGUUAUCUUAUCUACUUUUCAACUUCAUUUUCUUUGGGAUUAUUCUAAUGAAUUUCAUUCAGCUUUUGAGAUUACUCUUUGUAAAGUUGAGUUCUACUUUUUGAAAUUAUGUGUUUCCAUAGCCUGUGAAAUAUAUAUCUUCAGCCAAUAUGUUGUCAACUUUUUCUCCCUCAACAGUAUCAUUUCUCCCCACCAUUCUCCCAUGCAACAUGGCAGACCUUCUGUUACUAUUUUCUUGACAUCUGAGGUUCUAUUUUGCUUUGUUUCAGAUCUUUUAUCUCUUCACUGUUCAAAUGAGCUAACAUUUGGCUCUAUCUCCAAGUUUUGUUUGUUUGGUUGUUAAGUUCUCAGAUUUCCAACAGUUCUUUAUAUCUUCCUUACUUUUCUGAUUAGCCAUUUUUGUGUUGGCAUGUGUUAUCCUUUCAUGUUGAGUAAUAUUGAUUAUAUCUGAGAUAUUUUGAGACUGGAUUUUAUUUAAAUCUUUGGAUAAUUGUGUUUUCCUUUUAUCCUGCAGUUGACAGGGUUAGGCCCAGUGAGCAAUUACUAUUUUACCUUUAGUAAGCUGUGGUUGUGGUAUCAUCCAUUGCCAGUGCCUUUAGUGUAUCUACUCCAGAUGGUCAAUCUGGAGUCUCAGCACUUUCACUGCCAAUUCUUUGUAGGUUAUUUCUGAUGAGAUCUAUGUAUUCAAGCCUGAGAUGUAAGCCUGGGUGUUUAUAAGCAAUUAGUGGGUAUAUUUGUUUCCUAAGCUCCUCCUUUCUGUGAUUUUUUUUUAGAUCCUUCUAGUUCUAUGGGACUUUUGUUACUGGUCAUUUGGCCAGGAAACUUGGACUUCAGUUAAUGUCAUCUGUCAUGAAGUGCACAGCAAUGCCUAAGUUUCUGCAGCCAAAUGACUGGACAGCAAGCCAUAAUGGGAUUCAGUCCCACCUUCUCAGAACCACAGUUCUGAUAAACCCAGAGGGAGCUUUGGUUUUAGCUUUGCAAGUUUCUCUUGCUGCUGGCUGUCAUAUACACCACUGGGAUAUUUUGGGCAUGGUAGCUUCAGAUAGCAGGGAGAAGGAGGGACAUGGAGGCUUACAAACACACAUGUGCACACACACACACACACACACACACACACACACACACACACACACAUGUCUCCAAGUGUCAGAGCUAUGGCCAUCUCCUGCUUCUCCUCUGCCAGCAACUGGUGUCUGGUAACUGUGUGUUGACUCCAGUUUGGGCAUAAUGGAUACUGCCAGUUUGUUGGUAUUUCAAGUUCUGGUUGUCUUUUGUAGGCUGUCUGCUACAAUUGACUGUAAAGUCCUCACGCAACUUUAUAAUGACAUAAGGUUUUAUAAUUGUAAACCCUGGUUAAGAUAGGAGACAGAAUGUAAAGACUCCAUUUGUGUUGGAUUGUGAAUUUGAUGAUGAUGAGGUUAAAUGGUGUGGGCAUACACUGCUCCUUGACUGUAGCUUUUCAAAGCUUUGCAUCCUUGCUUGAAAAAUAAUUCCUACAUUCUACUUUCAAAAUUUUGGAGGAAGAUGUGUGUACUUUUGUCACUGAGCAGUCCUAGUUCUAUUGGCUCAUAAACAAAACCUCAGUAACUACAUUGGAAUGGAGAAAUUUAUUAAUAUUUUACUUUUUCUUACUAUUAAGGCAAAGGGACUGAGAGUAUACCUCAGUGGUAGAGAUUUUGCCUAAUAUGCAGAAAAGCUUUUUGCUCCAACCUAAGCAAACACACACACACAUACACACACACAGAGAAAGAGAGAGAGAGAGAGAGAGAGAGAGAGAGAGAGAGAGAGAGAGAGAUAGAGAUUACAGAGAUUUUCCUUGUCACUUUCUUUUAUCCUCACUGAGGAUUGAACCACUGAACUAUAUGCCUACUCUUAUUUUUUACUUUUUGUUUUGAGAUAAGAUCCUACUCUGUGGUCUAGGCAGCCUUUGAACUUAGGGUCUUUGUGACUCAGUCUUCCAAGUAGCUGGGUUUAUAGGCAUGCACAAUCAGGCCCAGACAAACUCAAGAAUUUGGGAAAUCUUUUCAUUCCAGUUUAGAAAAAGGACUGUGGAGAUAAUGCUUCUGUGACUAAUAUAGUAAGUUCAUUCUCUGCUGAAUGAACAGGUACCUCUUUCAUGAGAAGAGUUUUGUUGUGCGUGUUUCAUAAGCUCACAUCUGGAAUUUAGAGUGUUAAAUAUGCUUAUAAUGCCUAUAAAAUAGUUAUUGUGACUGUAGUGGUUAGUGAGGCUCUGGGAACAAGCUUCUCUGAUAAUCUCAAGUAAGAUAGGGACUGAUGAAAUAAAUGAUAUAAGGUGUUCCCAGAGUGGUGAGGAUACUCAAAGACCUGUUGUUCCUGAGGGGUGGGGAACAGGAAGCCCUGCUGUAGAAGGGAGAAUGGAAUGAUUUAGGGAGCAGGGGUUUGCAUUUCCAGGAUCAGGGCAGGCUAUACAGUGGGAAGGUCUGGUUCCAACUUGAGCCCACUCACAGGAUGUCAGGGGAAGUGUGACUAAGGUCAUGGCCAUGCCACGUGGCAGGCCAGCUGGAUUCAAAGCAGGGGCCUCUGGCCACAUAUCCUAAGUUUCCAUGGCCUAAUGUAGUAGGCUUGAAAGAAAGGGUGGAUGCAGGAUACUGGCAGGGGCUGUGCAGUGCGUGGGCAGUAAGUCUUAAGUGGCAGUGGGUGGAGACCACAGCAUUUCAUACGCCUUUCCUAUGACACCUUUUAAAGCUAUAACCUACAGUAUGCAGGAGUUUAUGCCAAUAUCUGCUUACAGGGAUCUUGCAGACCUCUUAAAUACUCUGGUGUUCGUAGAAGUACAAGAGAAAUUUUUUAUUUUGGUGUCAUUUUUAACACAUAUAGAGAUGUAAAUUUAGAUUGUGAAUUUGUGGUCCUGUUCACAUUUAGCAGUUUUAUUGGGAAUGAUUUUAAAACCUUUUGUAAUUUUCAGAUGUGGAUGGCUGUAAAGGAUACAUUAGAUUUCUUUCAACUUUUCCUUGGAGAAGGGCUGUUCACAAUCCUUUAGCAGGUUAGGUUACAGAAUUUCAGCAGCUUUAUGGUCUUAUCAUGUAGUUUGAUAGAUUGAAUUUGCACUUUGAGGAAACGGAAUGUAUUUUUAAUCACGGAAAUAUAUUGUACCCAGGGAACAUAGGGGAGUAUAUGUCAGAUUUAAGCUGUAAUUAAUAUCUCACUGGUGAUUUUCCAACUCCAUGGCAUGCUGAAACUUGAUCUUCACUUGAGCAAUUUCUAGUGUUUCCUGAGUGUAAAAUGUAAAGAGUCUUAGAAAAGCAUCCUAGGAUUCAUAACCAUUCUUUAUCCAUUUAGGAUCUUAUAGAGGUCUCUGGCCUAAAUUUUCAGUUCUAAGAGAAAAAUUUAUUAUGAAAAGCAUUAAAUGUUCAGUAUUUUAUGUAUCCCCAAUAAAUUAUACAAUAUGCUAGGAGGAAUGAGGGAAAGAAGUGAAAAUCACCAUAGAAACUUGGGUGGGAGGUUGUAAGUACUGGAGGGGGGUAUAUGAGCUGCUAUUAUUAGACAUCCUUGUUAAGGUCCUGUGUCUUUAUGAUUGCCUGGGAGGGUUCAUUGAAGUGGAAAAAGCACUUGAAGUAUUUACUUAGUUCAGUUUCUUCCUAAAACUUAAGAAUCCUUUCUAUGAUGAGAAAUUAUAGAAGGUAGAAGCACGGUCUUUUUGUUGUUGUUGUUGUUUGGGUUUUUUUUUUUUUUGUCUGUUUUGUUUUGUUUUUUUACAUUUCAAAUAUUAUUCCCUUUCCUGGUUUCUCAUCCAUAAGCCCCCUAUCCCAUUCCCUCCCCCUUCUUCUAUAAGUGUGUUUCCCCUCCCCAACCACCCCCCUUUCUGCCUCCCGGCUCUGACAUUCUCCUACACUGGGGGGUCCAACCUUGGCAGGACCAAGGGCUUCCCCUUCCCUUGGUGCCCCAACAUGGCUAUUCUCUGCCACAUACGCAGUUGGAGCCCAGGGUCAGUUCAUGUAUAGUCUUUGGAUAGUGGUUUAGUCCCUGGAAGCUCUGGUUGGUUGGCAUUGUUGUUCAUAUGGGGUCUCGAGCCCCUUCAAGCUCUUCCAGUCCUUUCUCUGAUUCCUUCAACGGGGGACCCGUUCUCAGUUCAGUGGUUUGCUGCUGGCAUUCGCCUAUGUAUUUGCUGUAUUCUGGCUGUGUCUCUCAGGAGAGGUCUACAUCCGGCUCCUGUCGGCCUGCACUUCUUUGCUUUCUCAAUAUUGUCUAUCUUUGGUGGUUGUUUAUAUAAGGGCUGGAUCCCUAGGUGUGGCAGGCUCUGAAUGGUCAUUCCUUCAGUCUUUGCUCCAAACUUUGUUGCCAUAACUUCUCCUAAGAAAUAUGGUCUUUAGUUUGGAUAUAAUGCCAUUUUUUGAAAUUAAUGAGCUUGCAUUAGAAAUCAGGUUCCUGGAAGAGACAUCAUAAAGAAUAGACACUGAAGUUCACUACCAUUAAAGCUUUAGGUGUAAGCUACCUUUAAAAACAUUUUCAUGUUUAGGAUAGGUUUAUUCUAUUUUUCUCAAGCUCCCCCCCCAACACAUAGGUGUCUUCUAUUUUGCCUAGAGCUCUUUGUCAUGGAGGUGAUAAUGAGUUUGGUGACCAGGUCUGAAUGCACUAUAUAGAUAUAUAAAGGCCACUAUUAAAUUGUCUCUGAGCCUUAAGUAACAUAAAGUACUGAGGAGCACUACAUUGGAUUAGCAUUAAUUAGCAUUAAGGAGAUUGUGGGUAAGCAUAAAAACAAGUGGGAUGACAAAGAAAAAUGUAUCAUACUGUAAGAAGAGUGCUUUGUGAGCAUCACAUAAUAUUAAUAUAAGCCAAUUGUUAAGAUCUCUUUUAAAAAGAUUUAUUUUUUCAUUUUUAUUUUUGUACGUGUGUGCCCAUGUGACUUUAUGUGUGUAGGUACCCAUAGAGAACAGCAGAGAGUGUUGGAUCUCCUGUAACUGGUACUAUAGGUGAUUAUAUAGUACCUGGUGUGGGUGUUGGGGAUCAAAAGUGGGUCCUCCAGAAUAGAACCAAGUGCCUUUGACCGCUAAGGCACCUCUCCAGCUCCACAAAGAUCUGUUUUAUGUGUUUAGAUUGUACCUUGGGUUCCAAGAUGAUAGCAGUUUAGAGGCCCAGUAUGUUCAUCCACCUCCCACAACCCUUUCUCUUCUAUAGUAUCCUAAGAGGCCAAAGCUGUAAAAGAACCUAACCAAGAAUUCUGGUAUGAUCUUGUCAUUAUUAGACAUUUCAGAAUACUUACCACAGUUUAAAACCUCAGUGAAGAGGUGGGAGCAGAGUUUGUAGGAGAGGAGAAACUUAGAAAUCAAAGGUAAAGUUUGUGAUGAAUGGCACAGUAGGGAAGAGACUCACAUGGACUAAUGGUUGUUUGUCUGGCAUACCUGAAGUACCUUCCAGCACAGGAGAGUACACCUGCAAUGCUGCAGAUUAGCAACUCAGGAGCCCCAAAAUAUUUAAAGAAAGUAAUUAUGUUUUUAUACAACAUGAAGUUGUUUCUUAAUGAUCCAAACUGUUUAUGCCAUAUUCAUGUUGAGCAAAGUCAUCUAAAAAUGAUUUAAAGUGGACAAGACAAGAGAAUGAACAUGGACUUCCUGCAGCCACUGGACAAUGUAGGGAUUUUGAGCACCAGAAGAACUACUUUCUGCAGCAUGCCGGAUACAUGUCAUCCUUCUUGGGUAAGAAGAGGUACUGUCGCUGUGCUGAGUGAGACAUGGUUAGUAAACAGGGAGUUAGGAACUUUAAGAGCAGUGAUGCGAAGUAAAUGAAGGAUGAGGCUUAAUUGGAGCUGAAGGCUGCUGGCUUUAUACAAGGAAUGCAUGUUAUUCUAGUCCUUGGAAGAAGAAAUGGUAACUCCUUUUUAAAUUAUGGCAUCUGCUUUGAUAUCUGAAAAAUGAUCCGUGCUCUUUUCAAAUUAUAGUUAAAGAAGAUGACAACAUGACUCUACUAAACAUAUGAACAAUAAAGAAGUAUGGGAAAAUAGAAAAGAAUCACUUUUUAUUUAAAAAUAAACUUUCAUAUCUUUAAAGAAAAAUAUGGAAUAUGGACCCAGAGAUUAAUGAUGCAGUUAAUUGAAUUAGUUUAACUUUCAUCUGAUAAUAAUUUAACUUUAACCAUGAGAAAAAACCGAACACUCCAGAAAAUUAUCUUAAAAUUAUUUCAGGUUGGUGAGUUGGUGUAUGCCUCACAACCUGUUUUGAUCCUCAGACACACAUGAUAGAAGGUCAGAACCAAUUCCCACACAUUGUCCACUGACCUCCACUCAUGCCAUAACAUAUGUCCCCACAUAUAGUGCACAGUAAAUGAAUGCAAUUAAAAAAUAAAAAUCUCUUACUGGGUGUGAUGACUAUAGCCUAUAACUCAAACAGCUAUGGGGUGAAGCAAGAGGAGUUCUAUGAAUUUAAGGCCAGCCUGAGCUACAUAGUGAGUUCUAGGAUAGCCUGGACCUAGAAACUCUGUCUGAAAAACAAUAGCAAAACAAAACAAACAAUAAACAAAAUCUAUUUGUUGCCUUGAGAAAGGUUUACAUAUGAGCUUCCAUAUUUAUUUGCCUACUGAUGUAUUUUUAACCAUCUGAGGCGAGAUUGUUAUAGUUGUUAUUAUUAUACAAAAAAUGAAAUUUAUUUAGGUACAGGUAUACCUUAUAUACUAUUCUUUUAACUUUUUUAUGUAAUUUGAAGUUUUCUACUAUAAACUGUUUUUAAAAGAAGCAGCAGCAUCCAGGUGGUAUUGGCCAAUGUAUUUAAUUCCGGAACUUGGGAGGCAGACACAGGUGGAUCUCUAUGAGGUCAAAGCCUAGUUGAGCUAUAAAGAGAUGUUGUCUCAGAGAUAGGAGAAAAAGACAUUGUAGAUAAUCUAUUGAUCUUUGAAAGGAAGGAUGAAAAGAUCUGACCAUAAUUUGAAGUAUACCUGCAAUAGCUUGUAGCAUGUAGAACUGAUUCAUUAUCUGUGGCAAGCAUGGAAAAUGAAGGGAGUAUAAAUGAAGAGGAUCAUUCAUGGAAAUCUGUUAGCUAUAGUGAGGGAAUUAGGAUUCAUCUUGACCUUGCUGCUGGAAAUCCUUCACUGCAUGAGCUUGUCUUUUUUUUUUUUUUUUUUUUUUUUUCGGAGCUGGGGGCCGAACCCAGGGCCUUGCGCUUGCUAGGCAAGCGCUCUACCACUGAGCUAAAUCCCCAACCCGAGCUUGUCUUAUGUAGCCUAUUCCGUUUAUCUCUUUCAGCCCUAUUCUUUUCCUGUCCUCUAAAGUUUAAUUUACAUUGGUCAUUGUCCUUCUGUAGUAUAAACUCCAUAGUUCUGUGGAUUUUAAAUAAAAAAAAAGACUAUUUGGUCUUAGCUUUCCUAGAAUCUGCUCAUUUCAAGGACGCUGGUCUUUGUUGAGAAGCUCCAGUUAAGGUUCUUACUUAAUGGUUGUAGUCACUGUCUUUAAUGCUUUUAAGAUUUUAAUUUUAUGUGUAUGAAUAUUUGGAUUUAUGUUUGUCUAUGAACCACGUGUGUGCCUGCUUCUUGCAAAAGCCUGUAGAGGGCAUCAGAUCACAUAGCUCCUAUGUUUGUAGUUUUGUUCUGCUGGGAAUCAAACCUUUGUUCUCCAAAAGUCCAACGAAGAGCUCCUAAUCACAGAUUCAUCUCUCCAAUUCCAAGAAGUCAGUCUCUUAAUACCUUCAAAGAUUUGUUUCCUUCCCACCUGUAGGAUCCUCCAUUUGAUAGAAGUUUCACUCAGUCCAACUCAGUAACCUUGAAAUUUGGUCUGGAAAGCUGGCUCAGUUGGUAAAGUACUUGUGACAUAAGCAUGUGAACCAGAGGCUGGAUCUGCAGCACCCAUGCAAAAGCUGGGCACAUUAGCACACAGCUGGAACCUUGGUGCUAGAGAGACAGAUACAGGUGAAUCCCUGGAGCUUGCUGGCCAGCCAGUUUAGCUGAAUUGAUGUGUUCCAAGUUCAGUGAGAUACCCUAUUUCAGAAAUAAUACAGAAAGAAGUGUCUAGGAAGAUCCUUGACCUCAAACUCUGGCCUUCACCCACAUGUAUACAUGCAUGCAACAUAUAUACUAAUAAAUGCCCCCAGUAAUUCAGGAGGCACCCCAGCCCACAUCUUAGCACUACUGUAAGUCUAGAGACACAUGCCAUACUUCAUCACCUUGACUUAAAACUGUAUAAAUAUUCCCUGCUGACAGAACGGAGUUGCUUUUAUUGGUGAUGGUUAUUGCUUGUUUGUUUGAUUGUAGCACACGGUGCCCCUGUUCAAUCCUAGUCCUUGUAUAUGCUAGGCAGAACUCUGUUACAGAUAUAUACUUCCAGUUAUCUUGCUGGAGGAAAAAUGAAAGGCAUUGACAUAUAAUUUGCUCCUUAAUGUGAUAUCUGGUUUGUUUACUGAUUUUAUGUUUUAUUUCUAGCUCAUACAUAUGUUAGAUCAUGGGCAAGAAGGUAUGAGCAGUGAAGGAACUCUAUAUGUUAUUUAACUCUAUAUACUUAGAAAUGCUAUGGUGUGCUUCUUGAUUGAAAAUCUGGGAAGUUGGACUUGGUGUGAUGGCAUGUGCAUUUAGUCUCAGCAUUCAGGAGGCAGAGUCAGGUGGAUCUUUGGGAGUUCCAGGCCAGCCUAUAUAUAUAUAGUGAAUUUGAGGACAUCCAGGACUGCAUUGAGAGACCCUGUGAUAAAACAAAACAAAACAAAACAAAACAAAACAAAACAAAACAACAAAUAAUCCCCUCCAUCCCUAACCUGGGAUAUGGGGCUUCUUGGACCUGUGUCCAUACAUGUUUAAAUUAAGAAGAUGGGGAUGUGGAGAAUUGCCUUUUCUGGUAAAGAGAGUCCUUGUCCCAUUAUCAGCCCUGGCUUACUUCCAUCUCUUGUUGGUAUUAAUGACUUUGGACUUUAGGACGGGGUUCUUGCUUGAAAUCUCCCUGUUUCACAAGUUUCUUCUCACAGAGAACUUUCUGUGGGAUGAGGUAUCUUAGGUGAGAUCUGGGUCAGGAUACUGGCUUGAGAAGGGAUACAGGACUCACUCCCUACUUGUAGAUAAUGCCUGAGAUAUGCUGUUUAUGGAGCUCUUUAUAGGUCACCAUUGUGUGGCUCAUUGGCCACACUUGCAGUUCUUUCAUUUUCUUUAGGGAUAGAAACAUAAGCACAAAGACUAAAAGUCAUUUUGGCUGGUGGGGUACUUCACACCUGUAAAUCCAGCAUGUGGGGGAGGUUGAAGUGGGAGAAUAGUGUUCAAACAUAGCCUAGGUUACAGAGAUGAUCUGUCUUUAGAAGGGGAUAUGAGGGAGAAGGCAACAGCAAAAACAAAGAAAUUGGUACAAGUCCUUGAGUCUUCUAUCUCUGCCAGUCAUGUUCUUUUAUUCUUUUCAGGCCCUCCUGCAGUAUUACACCUAGCUCACCCUUGUGUCUUGGCAGUCCUUGCAGCUCAAUCAAGUGUUGUUCACCUUAUUCAGCACACAUACUUGAGUAUUCUGAAGGCUGAGUACUGUGGGAAUUUGAGGCUGGGGCAGGCAGCAAAGAAUAGAGCUGCCAGCAGGGCUCUUCUAGCUUCUGGCAGGAAGUUUGCCUUAGUCCAGGUUACAGUGUUGGGCUACCCACCCACCCACCUCACUUUCCAUCCCCCAGAUCACUUGAAGAAAGCAUGGAGAAGCUGAAGGUGCUCUUUCUGUUCCUUUGAUUUCCAUAUGCUUCUUUAGAUGAUGUACAGUCUCCUCCUGAUUUGUUUGCUGUGGUGUUAGGGAUAGAGCCUAGAGAUUUGCAUGUAUUAUACCAUUUUACAUACCGGACCAGAGCUACAUACCAGGUCUGAUCUUUCCUCACUUUUGUACUAAGUCUUUAUGAAUCAUGAAUUCUAAAGGGCAAGGUCUCUAUCAUUUAUGUUUCUCCUGUCCCAGAUCCUAGCCAUGGAACUGCGCAUUGUAAGGUUAAUUACAAUGAAAAUUAUCUUUGUCAAGAACAUGUACUUCUGUGGUCUUCAGAACACAUCAUGUAUAGGUGAUACAAGUACAUAGUUUCAUAUACUGAGACAUCAUUUCCGUCUGUUUGGGCACAUCUGUUCUUUGUUCAGUACUAGAGUUUUGAAAAUGGAAACCGGUUCAUGCCAUCUUAUUCUAUUUAGUAUUUAACACCAGUUUCUUUCCAUCUUGGGUAGAACAGGUGGGAACAGGCAUGACUGGGUUAUCACUGGGAGUUCUUAGUCACCUGAGAUGGGGAAGACAGGGAGGGAUGAUGUGUUGAUGAGUUUUUGUGUAAAGACUACACUCCUCUUAGAAUUCUUAGCUUAUAGGGAUGAAGAUGUAGUUCAGUUGUCAGACACUUGCUUAAAUAUACUAUCCCCAGCAAUGCUGUAGACAUGCACCUCAAAAUCCACAAAUGCAUAGCAGUGAACCAAAGAAAAGAAAGUUGAGAAACAAGAAAAAAAUCCUGUAUUUAUACAGGGGCUCCAAAUCACAUGAUAAGGUGUAAAAUUGAGAGUUGGUGGCCUUCUUUUACUUGCUAAACCUAAUCUUGCUGAUCUUGCUUAGAUCUGUCUCUUUUCACAGUGGAGAGCCACUCAGAGGACCAUUUCCCUUCAGGAUACAGUCUCUUCAGCAGUUUAGUAGACAGUGUUUUAUGCCAUUUUUCCUCUGUAGUUCCAGAAGAGAACCUCAGAGGUGACAUGGACAAAGGGUACCUGAGGCAAGGGUACAAUCUAUUUCCAGUUAUUCUCUUCUAAAAUGUGAAUUGUAUGUAUUCAGUCUUCACUACAGCUCUGUUGGCAUGUUGAAACACUCUAAAAGUUAGUUUUGCAACUUAAGAUUUUUUUGCUCUCAAAUUUUAUCAUACAUUUGAUGUCCUAACGUUGGGUAACAUUCUACUGCUCUGUUUUUGUGGUUUUCCUGAAAGGUUCUUAUGCUAAUUCUUGCUAAUUCCAAGGUAAUAUAUCCUGUAACCAGUUGAGUUGGGUAGGGCUGCCAUUUGACCUGGGCAAUCUGUGUUCUGAAACCCAUUUGCCUGUCCUUAUCUGUGAUAAACUAAUUCAGGUAACCCAGCUUUUUGUGUGUCUCUCCUUGAUAACACCCUAAGUAUUUUGAUGCUGCUGUUCUCAGGCAACAGGAAUGUAGAAUUCUUGCAAUCAAUCAAUCGUAAUUUCAUAUGCAGUUAUGUUCUAUAUAGUCUUCAAGGUAAGAUGGUAAGAUAUUAUGUCCUCACUUCCCAAGAACUCUAGUCAGUUUUUGUUGUAUGGCUAUGGGUAGAUACUUUCUGGUACUUGCCAACUCUCUGGGAGAUAUUCCAUGGCGCUUUUCCUGCUUAUUGUAGCCAUUGAGGUCAUUCAUGGAGACAUGUUCAAUUUCCUCAACUUAGCCUGUAUCCUUAGCUUGUGUCAAGUUGACAUUAAAACUAGCCAGCACACCUUUGUUGAGCUCCCUAUUAUUGAUCUGACCUCUUCAUAUUCAAAGGCCUCAGUCCUCCAUAUUACGUUUACUUCUCUAACAGCCCUCACUCUCAGCGCAGACCUAAAGUAGUGGAACAAACCAGUUGUGGCCUAAAACCUGAAGACUUGAGCCAAAUGAAAACCUUUAUGUAAGUUAUAUCAGAUAGUUUGCCAUAGUAACCAAAAGAAGGCUGCUAUAAAACACCCUCCAAAAAUCCUUGAAUAACUCACUUUCAUGACUCAAAACUUUCUAUGGUUUUGUAUCUUAGAGCUAAGAAUUAGUCUAUUCCAGGAAGCCCUUUGUAACCUGCUUCCCUGUGCCUGUUCAGUGUAACCAGACUCAUUUCUUUCUUCUUUCUACCUCUUCAUCCUGAUAUGUGACACUAGACAUUUUACUGAUCUAAUCCCUGAGAAGAUAUAUUUCCACUUCCCGUUCUUUUCUCUCUGCCAUGCCUUCUUCAUUCACUGCCCAGAUAUUUAUGGAAUCUGCUCCCAUGAUUACUUAGUCUGCCUCUCCCUAUACCUCCCAUAUUCUGCUUGAGUACUUUAUCACUAGCUAGUCUACUUUGCAUUUCUUUGUUUCUAUUUCUUUCCCCUAUAGUCUGGAAACUCUAGACUAUAUUCCCUACACCCAGCACAGUACCUAAGAGUUACGGAGUAUUUGGUAAGAUUUUUGAAUGACUGAAUGUGUGUACUGGACAAUGUGGUCAGAAAUAGAUGAUAAGGAAUGUGGAUUCACCCAAUUGGAGAGGAAAACACAACAUGUAUGUAUAUUUCUCAGAGUCUAGGGGGAUUUCUCUUGGACACUCCCUGAGAUCUUACCAUUUCUAAAAUUGGAUGGGACAUCAGUUGUUAUCUGCUCAACACUGAAUAUUAUACAGCCUUUUCAUUCUUGUUGAUUGCCUCUUUUUCUUUUGUUAUUGUUACAUAUAUGUUUGUGGUAUGCACAAAUAUUUGUAAAUAACAUCCACCAAGUCAGUUUUUGUUGAUGGUGUGUAUAUGACUGCAGGGCUCUGGACUGGAAAACCAAUGAGGGGCCUCAUCCCUGGGUGAGGCUGAUUCUCAUCCCAACAUUCAUUGGUUACCUGUACUUCUUUGUCUAGGGAUGGAACACCCACCUUCAUGUUAACAUGUCCAUUGAUAAUGCCAUUGUUCUGCCAAUUUCUAGACAAGCUUUUCACAGCAAGCUUCCUGGUAUUUUGGCUCUUAGAAUCUUUCUUCCUCCUUGUCCUCUAUGUUCCCUGAGCUGUAGAUGCAAGAGGUGUGAUGUAUUCAUAUCCACUAGGUGUAAGCUUUCCAUGGUCUGUUCAUCUCUGUAUUGUGUCCAAUUGUGGUUUUCUGUGAUGGUCUCCAUUUUCUAUAAAGAAAGGCUUCUUUGAUGAGGGGUGGUAGCUACACUUAUUUGUGGGUAUAAAGAUAAGAUUUAGAAUGUAGUGAGGAAUCAUACUGGAGGAAGUGGCUUGGCAGAAGGUCAAAAUAAAUUCAGUCAGCUUCAAGGGAUAGGACCAAAAUCCCUAGUACCAGGAAUAAUUUCCCUUCUGUUGAGUGAGCAUACAUCCAAUUAGAAAACUGCUGAUUGCCACCAAUAUGUGACUGCAACCCAUUGAACCUUUAUGCAUGUGUACCAUGUAGAGAUGUCACUACUCAAUAGGACCAUUAAUUGCUUUCACCCCUUGUCUAUGGAACUCCCUUUCUCUUAUUUUGUUUAAUUCCCUACUCUGUUUCAUUUGUGUUUUCUGGCAUUACACUGUUCUCUACCUAUCAAAGCCAGAUUUCAAGAGUAGAUGUGAUUUGUUUUGUGAGAGGCAUUGGAAUGCUGACCUACCUACUCACCAUUUUUUUGCUUUGUGCUUCACUGACUCCUUUAUUUUGUCAACUCCCAACAAAGAUCACCACUCUACCACCCACACAUCUACUGCCCUUAACCAGAUUCAUGUUCUCUAGGACAUGUCUUUAUUACUAUAUUUUUCAUCUCUUAUUGCAUACUUAAUGAUCAAUUACAAACAGUCUGGAAUUCACUUCCACUUAAUCCAUGGUGCUUGUGAGACUCGUGAUUUCCAGCACUUAACAAAUGCUUGGCAACCCCUAUACCCAUCCUGGCUUCCACUCCAAAUGUUUAGUGUAGUAGAGAACAGAAAGUACCUAAGCAGACUGUUCGGUGCCUCUUCUGUUUAGAGUGUUUUACUCUGGAGAUCGAUGAGAUCUGUCUUAAUUUUUUUCUUUUCACCGUUUUCCCCUUGAAUCAAUAUUUAGAAGAUCUGCAUGUGUGUGUUUAUGUGUGCAUAGGUGCACAUGCAUGUGUGGAGGCCAGGGGUAGAACUUGUCAUCUCGAGCAGCAUCCAUCUUUUUUUUUUUUUUGAUAUAGGGUCUGUCACUAGCCUGAAGCUCACUAAAAUAGGCUAGCCCAGGCUGGCCAGUGUACCCUCGGGAGGCAGUUGUUCUGGCUUACCCAGCACUGGGAUUAUAGAUUUGUGCAACCUUUUUUACAUGGACUCUAAUGACUGAUAUUAGAUCCUUGUGCUUGCAAACGAGUACUCUCCAAAUCCAUCUACUCAGGUAUAGAACUAUUUUAUUAUUUGAGAGAGAAAGUGGGGAGGUGGGGGGAGAAACAUUAGAAUAUGAAUUGGAAAUUUCUUUUAUCCAUUUACAGCAGGUACAGAAGAAUAGGUUGUGGCAAAAUUGGACUUGAGGGUAUUGUUUCUGUUAUGUAGGAAGUUUAAGAUUAUGAGAUUGGAGAAAGCUGACUGAAAAAAUAAGUCAUAUAAGCUUGGCAGAGAACUUGAAGGCUAAGGGUGUAGAUAGGUACAUUGCUAAGAAGAGAUGUGGCUCAUUUUAUAUAAACCCAAUACUGAUAGACAGUAUAUCUUGGCUAAGAUUUGUUUCUGUUAUUCAGACCCAUUUGCAGAUUGGUAAACUUGAGUGUACAAAUUGUUAUCCACAAAGAUCUCAUUGUUACUAACUAAAAUUUCUAAAUCGAGGAAUACAAAGAACCCAAGAAACUUAAAAGCCUUGGCAUAUUCAAAGUUAUCUUGAAAUAAUUUAUUAGAGACUCCAUUAAGGAUACUAGUACAAAAGUACUAUCCUAUAAAUAGAAAUGAACUUUCAAAAACCCAACAAUGUGAUAAAAGCACUGUCCUCUUUGAUCUCUGUGGAUCAUUCUGUAAGGAACUGUAUUUGUACAAAACACUGUCUUGUUAGCUCCAUUAUUUUGUUUAGCAAAAGCAGCAAGCAUAGCUAAGUGGUAGAGCACUUGGCUAGCACGCCUGAGUACCUGGGUUUCAGAUUCAACAUUGCCAAGGAGAGGAUAUGCCCCUUUAACUCCUUAGUUAUAUUUGCCUCAGACAAGAAGAUACUAAUUUGGUUGGUUAAAAACUUUUUCUUCAAGAUACCCACUUUUCAUUUAACAAAGAAUCUUACUGUGCAUAUAUGGGCUGGCCUUCAACUUAGCAAUUCACCUGUCAUUGUGUCCAGGUUCUGGAAUUGGAGGUGUGCCUUCAGAGUGAUAAUCCUCCUCUACAUAAUACUCCUGUGUAUAUUUCUAGUAGCUUAAUUUGUAUUUGAUUUAGGUCUACCUUUUUCCAAUUACUCCUAAUAAAUACACCAGUCCAUGAGUCCUGAGAAGUCAUGUAUUUGAGUUUAAGGUUCAUGAGGUAACUUUCUUCUUACUGCAAACUAUUAGGAUGGAGAUGCUCACUUUUACCUUUGUCCCACUAGUGUAGUCACCAUUUCCAGUGGGAUGCUUUUGAUAGGUUAAAGUUAUUUUCUAAGUAAUCAAUCUUACAAUUCUGUAAUUUUUCCUGGUUUCUACCUAGUAUUACCCUUGUGUGUUUGUCACUAAACUUCAAAAGCAAAAAAAAAAAAAAAAAAACCUGUCUCACAGUGGGCUCUGAAGUAAAUCUUGCUUCUGAAAUAUAUGUGCAAAAAUAAUUAUAUUGUUUUUAGAGAAGAAGGUUAUAAUCAAAUUGAAACUUGAGGGGUUUUUGUCAAGGAUUAUGUUGAUUAACAAGUGUUCUUCAUUUUUUGGACAGCUUGUGAGAAAGCAGUGAUUGUAGUUAAUUUUUAAUGAGUGUUACAUAGUUGAUAAUUGCUCUGAUUCAUGAUAUUAAUGUAUUCUCUUUCCUUCGCCCACAGCAAAACAAGCUUAAUUUGAUUUAUAUCCUUAGGAAGAAGAAAAAACCCUAAGAUUAUUCACAUGGCAUGAUUCAGAUUUUGGCCCCUUUCUCUUUCCCUUCUCUUUUUCUUCUCUUCCUCUUCCUCCUUGUCCCCCUCUUCUUCUCCCACCCUGCCCACUCCUGUAUUCACUCCCACCCACCAUGUUGUUGUCAUCAAAGAACUGAGUCAGUUAGUUCUUUAAAAUGGGUGGGGACAGGAGACAAGUAAUAAAAAAAAAAUUCUAAGUGAAGUAUUCAGCUUCUGUGUGAAAUCACUGCAAAAAGACAGGCGUCUCCUUCUAUUACAUGAAAAGCUUAGAGCACAGUCCGGUCCUCAUAAAGACAUGCUCCCAGUGUCCUACAUAAAUUUUCAUGUAGUUUGUGUACAUGUUUGUCAAGGCAUUUCAUGUAGCCCAGCCAUGGAGGCACAUACCGAAUUCUGAUCCUGGAAAUUUUAUGUAAACUAUACAUCAAAUUAAUGUGCUCUGAAAGUACUUUGCUAUACUUUCAGAAGUAUAGCAUCAUCAGAUGCUUGUCAUCACUAAUAAAGUAGUUUUAAAUGUUAUUUUUAAGUGAUAGUAUAACUGCUGUGUGUGACUCAAACACCGUGUCAACCCUUUUCAGUUCAGGUGCAAAGUACUUUCAGAGCACAUUAAUUUGAUGUAUAGUUUAUAUAAAAUUUUUUUAUACUUUGCUAAAUAAGAAAUGGACUUUUUAUGUUUUGUAGCCAGGAUCGCACUCUGUGGCUCAGAGCGAGUGUGUAUUCCUCUUGCUUCUGCUUCCCAAGGCAGGGAACUAUGGACAUGCAUUGUCAUACUUGACAUUCUCUAAAGAUUUUUGAUUGUUACAAAAUAUAAUCGAUGAAGUCACUUAAUUUGCUUAAAUGGACAGUAUGACAUGGAAGCUUGAGGCUAUUCUUGCCUCCCUUGGAAGAGAACUAUUGGGGGUAGCUACUCAGGCUUGGUAAUGUGGUAAGCAUUACUUAAGGAGAGAUUUUUUUUUUUUUUUGGUCCCGGCAUUUUAUUCUUUAUGCCAAUUCUCCAGGUGAUGAAAAACAGAAAGAAAGUGACUCCCCCCAUGUUCCUAUAGGCAAUACCAUCCCAGGGCCAGUAUUGGAUCCUGGGCUCUUUGUGUUCACCUUGACUUAUAGUUUGGGAUUUCUAGAAAUGAAAGAGUCACAUUGUUUGGUAUUUUGGGUUUCUGGCAGAAAGAGAACUCUCUGCUGUUUCUCCAAAAACAACAUUUUAGUUCAGAGUUGAAGCAGAUAUGUACCUCUGACCCAAGGUCCCACCAAAAGCAGUGAGUCCUGGAGCUUUCCCACAUCACCACCAUACCUCCAUUUUGUUGUCUUAGCCCCCAUUACGUUAUAGACAGGUUGGAUUGGUUGCUCGCUCUUUGCCCUUCAGGAGAGCCUAGGAUCUGCAUAUUUUUAAAGUAUACUUGUACUUCAGUGAUGUCUGCCUGCUGUCUUUUUUUAAUUAUCCAUCAACUCUGUUACAUGUUGACUGAAAACUAUUAGCUUUUGCUCCUGGAGGCUUUAUGGGAUGGUUGAACUGCUUCAUAGAGCUUUCAGAUGGAACCAGAGCUUGGCGUACUCAGAAGUAGAAUUUCUUCUUUUUUUAAUCUUUUUCUUUUUAGUUUUUUUAUUGUAUUUUUAAAAUUUUCAUUUUAAAUGUUAUCCCUUUCCCACUUUCCACUCCAGAAACCUGCUAUCCCACACCCUCUCCCAGCUUCUAUGAAGGUCUUUCAUCAUCUACCCACCCACUUUCUCCCACCUUCCAACCCUAACACUCCCCUACACUGGGGCACCCAAGCCUUGGCAGUUCCAAGGGCUUCUCCUCCUAUUUAUGUAUAUCUUAAUGAAAGACAAUCUAACAGAGAACAUAUACUGAGGUUCUUCACCUAACUACCUGGGCUUCCCUUAGGGUAAAUGUCAUGGGCUUUUAUGUGGUGGCCUUGUGGAGGAAAACAAAACAAAACAAAGCAGAAGAGUAGAUCAUGGGUCUACUCUGAGUCUGUACUCUUUUGCCCUUUGAUUAGAGGCUGUUUGGAGGUGCUCUGCACUGUGCCCAGGACAGUGCUCUACCCUGAAAAGGACUAUAAUGUUCCUCCAAUUUUUUGACUCAUUUAUCUUUUCCUGGCUGGUGACAGUUCUGAUGUCUUGUCGUAUCUGGGCCAACUAGAAUGAAAGUUCUAUUUUGUUAUUGUUGUUGUUUUAUUUUGUUUUGUUUUAAUUUUGAGGCAGGAUUUCACCUAGGAUGGCCUUGAACUAACUCCUUAUCCUCUUGCCACAACCCUACACAACCUUGCAUGUUCCUUUGUGUUCGGGAAGGCGGGCUUUUUCUCAUCAUGUUUGGGCUGCUAUGGGAAUUUCUGAAUGUCUUUUCUGACUGGUUCCAUCUGGUCAUAGCUCCCUUCUGCACUGACUUUAAGGAUACUCCAGAAAAUGUAAUGGAAAAAAGCCCCAACAGAUUCUGAAAUGCUCUACAGAAAUGAUGGCUUGGUCAGAUGUUUGUCAUCACUAAUACAGUAGUUUUAAAUAUUAUUUUUAAGUGAUAGUACAACUGCUGUGUGUGACUCAAACACCGUGUCAACCCUUUUCAGUUCAGGUGCAAAGCUGAAGGGCUGGAGGAACCGGGAUUGAAACACUAGCCAUUCUACAGACUUUCAACAGAUGUUAUAGGUUUCUUCAGAGGCCAGAGUUUUGGUUCUUUGAUUUUUAUUAAUGUCUGCUUUCACGCUGUGUGUUAAUUUCCAUUGGAAGUUAAGUAAUUAUAGACUUGAUGUUCGCUGUGUACCAUGGAAAGGUAACUGUCUUUAAGCCAAUAAAGCUUUACUCAGAAAAUGUCAGUGGCUAGAUUAAUAUCCCUGUUGAAAUAUGAACAGGUUUUAAUAACUAGUUGAGAAAUAUGUGUAUGUACUUAAAAUAUAAAGACAGUAUAAUUUGGAGAUGUACUUCCAAGUAGUUUUUAAAUUUCAUUUCUGAAAUCUGAUUCUUUAUGAAAAUUUGGAGUGAUGUUUAUUCCAGUAAAAAAAACUUACAGAGAAUUUUUUAAUAUAUUUAUAAAGUCAAUGAUCAACUUCCGUAUUAGCUUUUUAAAUAAUAUUUCCAUGUGUGUAUCUUUUCUGUGUCUUCAUCUGUGAGUUGGAGAAUUCGCUAUUUGCCUUGUGUUUUAAAAAUAGAAGGUAUGUCCUACAUUGUAACAUAACUAGUUAUCCAUCAAGGUUUAAUCAACAGUAAAAGCCUCUGUCAAAGCAGUUGCUGACUUUGCUCAAGGUUAAAGGAAGUAUGCUGAAAAGAGAUAACUGUAGUUUGAGUGCUUGCCUGAGCCAUUCAGAUUGUAUGUGUGUUGGGGAGAGGUUUGCACUUAUUAUUCCAUUUCUUCCUAUCUCCCAAAUACCUAAGAGUAACUAAUUCCAUGCAUGUAAUGCCACUCUCAUCAUGGUAGUUAAACAUCAUACUGAAGAGGAGACUUAGAAGCAGUUUACUUGAUUGGGAUUUCCCCAGAGAUUAUUUGGUGAUUUUUAAGGUUUUUUGUCUUCAGCUAUUAAACAAGUUGACAUCAAAAGACUAUUCAGAUGUUGGGGUGGGGCCAUUGUAGAAUUGGUGAUUCUAUGUGAAUGACUCAGGUUAGAGUGCAAAUUGCAGUACAUGCAAAAGUGAAAGCCUGUUACACGGCUCGGCUCUCAUGUCCCUGACCACUUCCUGAAGAACCUGCCACAUGGGCCCCAAAAAGAGAUUUAAAACUGGGUUCUUCCCAUGGUAAAGACAUGAGGCAGACCUGUAUGUAGAAAACCUUUUCCCCACUGUUGUGUGAACUUGAUUGUUUAGUGGCCUUAGUUGUAAAAUUUACAGCAUAUGGUUCUGAAACAUUACAUAUUAGAAAGGGCCAGAGCUUAGCUGACACUUAAAAUAUAAUCUCAGAGCUUUCUUGUUUACCUGAUUGAAUGUUUUGAAACCCAUUAAAACAUGCUUUCUGAUCCUUAAAUGUAUGAGCUAGAAAAGAAAAAAAAAUGGGAGCUUGUCAGAUCAAGUACAACCUCCAGUCUAAUAAAACUGAGUCACAUCCAAAUGGGCUGUACUUACACUACCCUCCCAUUCUGGGGAAAAUGUGGCCGGGGGAGGCAGUGUGAGUCAUCACCUGGUUUGUUUGACAUAUGCUUCCUUCCAUAAAUUCGGAAUGGCAAGCAGCACAGUGCUCUGGGCUUGCCUUGGAAAAAGAGCUGUUGCAGCUUUGCCUGAGCAAAAUUGGGCAUCUGGUUUGGAAAGAAGAGGUUGAGCCCGUGUUUUGAGUAUAGAUGACGGGGGAGGGGGAGAAGAAAUGGACAGAUCCAAACAAAGAAUAUUUGAAUGAAAUGCAGAUAACUCGUUAGAAAACUUUUGUGGAAAGAAGUGACUUAUGCGAUCAGAACAAAGGCGUUUUAUAAUCAGAUUUACCAAGCUGAGAAGAGGGAGUUUCAGCAAACGGAAGCUCCCGGCAUUCUGUCACCAGGAAACACUGCAUUUUCCAGAAUCGGCUGACCUGCAUCUUUUAUCCAAUAAGACAAAGAACAUUGAACAAAGAAAAGAACAUUGAAAAGACACAAUUUCAGUGUGAAUUGUGAGAUCUGCAUUCCUAGGAAACACAUGUAGAUCAGAGAACCGGCCAUGCACUGGGAAAAUCCUUGCAGGGUCAGUAUGAGCACAGCCCAGCCUCUACAACUAAACUGAGGCCAGAAGGAGAAUGCUAUUGUCAGGAUGUGACAUGGUCCUUGGCUUGUAAUAGAUUCAUUUUCACUACACGGCAACCAGCCUCAACCACUUUGGCAGCAAAUACUUGAUUUUAGGUAAGAACUAUAUACUGCUGUCUUUCUCACUUCUCCAAAGAUUAUAUAAAGCAACCAAUAUCCCCACUGCCUUUUAUGCAAUAUACUUCAGACCACUAAGUCUUUCUUACCUUUUCCAUUUUCUCCUUGUUACACUACUAAAAUCCACAUUUUUCUUUCCUCUUCCUUUUUGCUGAACAUUGCAUGUUGUAGCUGACAGCUUUAUCAAAUAGAGUCUUAUGUAUAAUGAUAAACAUUUGGCCUUUUAUCCUUUUUAAAUUAUCAGAAUUUGGUGCUUCCAAAUCUUCACACUCCAUCUGUCAGUUUGUCUUUACUUCUUUUCCUUUGUGGUAUGAGCAUUUGUAUAAACUUAUUUAAAAAUGAAUUGCCAUACAAGCACAGAACUCUAUCAGUUGGUACAGCAUAGUUUGGUUUAUGGUAGACUUCCAUGGUUGUUAGGCACACAGACUAUAGUGAAGGUUAAAAGUGCUCGAGUACCCCGUGCCCCACCUCAGGACCCUCUUGUGCUGUUAUGUGGAUAAAGACAUACAUAGAUACACUCCUGAAUAGAGAUGUUUGUCUGUUGGGGUUUUUGUGUGUGUGUGUGUUUAUGUGUGUGUGUAUGUGCACACACAUACACAUGUUGAAGAAAUUAUUAUAGGUACCCAGAAAUUUUAUAAGUGAUUGCCCUCUGGUUGAUUUAGGUGACCACUGUUUACUAGAUGCUGCUGAUACCUAGAGAAUUACCAAGAGUGAGACUUGAUAAUUACCUCAAAGCACCUGUGUUCUUAACACAUUUUUAAACCAGUAGUGUAACAACACUGUAACUUCAUUUCUGACCAAUACAAACUAAGUAAUCACAGUGCCAGCCUCAGAGAAACAUCCUUCUCACCAUCAAGGAGGCCUAGAACUGGGCCUUCCACAGCUGGAGGAGCUGCAUAGGCACCACACAGAAGGCCUGUCACUUACUUUCUUUUUAUCUUGUCUGAGCUGGGUAGAACUUUUCUGGGAAGAGUUACAGAACUAAAAAUUCAGUACCCUCAAAAUACUGGAUGGCAUAAGGAGUCAGACAGUGGCAAAAAUCCAGAAACUCUGUGGUUAAUACGACGUAUACAUGAGACCUAUAGCGUAUGAUGUUGAUGUCUUCAGAAAAGUGCACAUGGCUCAGAAGACUAAAUCUGUAAAGACCAGCAAUAGAUUAUGAUUGAAAAAAACCCAAGCCAUUGGUUUUUUGAGGAGCUGACUAUAUUUUUCUAUUAUUUACAGGUUCAGAAAACGAUCAUUUGAUAUCCUUAUUUUCUUACCAUUAAUGGGAUGCACGUAAUUUUAUUUCCCUCUUUUAAGGACAGGGGUUCUUCACUCCUUUGCACACUGCUGACAUGAAUCUAGAAACUGUCGUACAUAUUUCUUCCAGAAAGGAGGGAGAGGGGAGGAAGGGAGAAAAAUGUAUUUAAGGCAGUUGAUUUCUAGAAUUUGUCCACAAAAGACUGUCUGUCACUCAGGUUAAAGCUAUCCUGUUUUUCUCUCCAUGUAUUUAGUAAGCAAAGGACUUAUGCUCUCAUCCAGUAAUUAUUUUAAAAAUGAUUUUUUUCAUUGAGAAGGAUUAAAGGCAUGUAUCUAAUUGCUAAAUAUUAUUUUCUAAAACUAGUCUGAGUCUGUCUUUAUUAGCUGGAAGAAGUUUCACCUUCAGAAGCAUAUUUUAGGAUCUUGUGCCAACUUGAUUCCUUCCCAGACCUGUUCAGACUAGACUUAUUUGGCAGAAAAUGUCUUUUUAAAAGUGUCUUAAACAGGAAUGUCCCAGAAAAUGUUCACCUCAAACUUCAAGUUGACUUGUAGAACAAUUUACUAAAUAGAGAGUCGUGAGGAUCAAGUGACCAUCAGCUGGUAUAAAUGUUUUUGGUCAAUAUAGUCACAGGACCUCAGGUAUGCAAGAGUUAGACAGCCUGCCACCAUGUGCCUGGUUAUAGUGAUAGCCUGAUUCAAGUGCUCUAACAUAAUGCAGAAGGAAUCCAAGUUCACAGGAAUGUACUUUAAUUAGAUACCUGUAUUUAAAAGGUUUGUUUCUCUUCCAGCAUAAUUUAACUCUGUGUGUAUAAGAAUGCAUUACUUUGCUCAUCUAUACUUACUGUUAAUUAGACUUUUUACUUUUUAUUCUUCGCCAUUUGAGAGGCACGUGUGUGUGGUUUUUUUUAACAGCUUUAUUGAAGUAUGAUAAACAAAGAACAGUGCAUAGUUCAGGUGGACAGUUUGAUGAGUUUGGAUACAUGUAAACAUCUGUGAUGAUGUCAUAAUUCCAAUCACUCAUGAUCAAGGUAAUCACUGACUUAGUACCUCCCAAAGUUUUUCUCCCCCUCUCCCCACUCUACCUCCAUGCACAUAUUUACAUUUUAAAAGAAUAUUUAACAUGAAUCCCACCUAGUGGGAGAUAUUUUAUUUAAAUUAACGCUGACUUUGUUAAAAUUAUGGACUAGCUUGUGCUCUUUCAGACCCAUAAAUGUGUUUGUGACAGAAGUUGCCUGCAUUCUUUAGUUAAUGGAAGGCUACUAGCAAAUAAAUCAAAGACCCAUUCAUUCACACACUUCAGAGCCACUUAAAAUACGAAGCUGAAAGCUAUAUGUAUGCAGAGGACCAGAUAUGUACCCACAUAGGCUUGCUACACAGGUGCUUGUAACUUCAAUCUCUGUAAACUCCUAUGAGCCUUGAAUAAUUGAUUGAGAGGGCCUUAUUCUCCUGGUAUCUUCCAUCUCAUCUGUCUCUUACACAUUUUCUGCCUCCUCUUCUGCAGGCUUCUCUGAGCUCCAAGAGAAGGAAUUAGUAGAGGCAGCCCACUUAGAACUGUCCAAGGUCUCUCUCCCUCAGCAAUGUCUGCCUGUGGAUCUUUGCAUUUGCUUCUAUCUACAGCAGGAAGAAGUGAUGCCGAUAAUGACUCAAUAAGAAAGGCACUGAUCUAGGAGUAUAGCAGAAUGUCAUCAGGAAUCAUUUUGUCACAAUUUUUUUUCAUCUUUUUUGAACCAGUAGGUUUUGGUUUUAUCCUAGGUCUUUGGGCUAUCUAAAUCUCUGGUUCUGGUCACUCAAGCAGUGUUGGGUUUGUGUUCCAUCUUGUGGAGUAAGCCUGAAGUCAAAUCAAACAUUGGUUGGUUACUCCCACAAAGUGUGUGCCACCACUGCCCUAGCAUAUUUUGUGACAGGACAGAUUGCAGAUCAAAGGUGUUGUGGCUGGGUUGAUAUCUAUGUUUUUUGUUGUUGUUGUUUGUUUGUUUGUUUUUGGUAGCCUACAGAAUAAUGUUCCAUGUCUCGGUCAUUAGAAUAUGUGAAUGAUGGUUCUAUGUAGGUACCAGUUUUACCUCUCCAUGCUCAAUGAGUUGUAUGGGUAUUGUGUUCAGCAGUGGGACCUUGUCAUCUGUUUGUGAGCAACCUAUAUUCUUGGCAAAAGCCUGGAUUGUUUUCUAUGAGGAUUGUGUUUUCAUGUGACCACUUUGACCAACAACUCAAUUGGAUGUAAUCUGCUCCUAGUACUAAAAGCUUUGUUUGGUGUCAAGAGAUGAUCACUUGGGAUGUCAUCUCCCCCUUUAUUUGGAAACUCCACUUGGAUUGCCAUAUCACCCCUCAAAUGCUCCUCAGUUCAAACUGUUUUUCUCCCCAUAUUUUGUCCCUUAACCUUGCAUCUCCUUUCUCUCUCCACCUGAUCCUCCUAUUCCUGCUCCCCCACACCUACCUGCAGACCAUCCAUUGAAUCUAUUCUGUUUUCCCCUCCUAGAAAGAUCCAUAUGUCCCCACUAAACCCUUCCACCAUACCUAACCACUAUGGGUCUACAGACUGUAGCUAAGAUGGACUAAGGUUUAUAAAUGACCAUCUAUUUAACUGUGGCAUCAGAACUGACCAAACUAAACUCAUGUCUCACUUGGUGAGCUUGAACUAUAAAGAAUGAUAAAGGCAUAGUUAUAGAGUGUUUCAAGAUAUGCAUUUGUGUGCUCCACAAAUGCUUUAUUUUAUAGUGAGGAUAAGAGCUUGCCAAACCUGGCCAAAUGCUCUAUUUCCUUCUUACAUCACUAUGCAUAUUUUGUAAAAAGAGAAUGUUAAAAUAUAGGUAAGGUUAGUUUAUAACUGCCAAAGAGGGGGAGCAACCAAACAAAAGCUUACUUCCUUUUUUAGUCCCACUUCUGUCCUCCCUCAAAGAGCCAAGCAAACUAUGAUUACCACAAAGUUGCUUGUGUUUCCUUACUACUAACAACUUUGUUCUGGGCCACUUUUCUUUGUAAUCUGCAUAUAAUUUAGUAUCACUGUAUGGUUCAUGUACAAGUCCAUUGAGCUUGAACUGUUUGAAAAUUGUGAGCCUUUCCAAGUUUUCUUCCUGAUGAUAAUCCUCUUAAAUUUUUCUGGGUGAGUGUUGCAGAAUUUUAAACCAAAAGAAGGCAGAACUCUAAGGUAUGUGUGCUUGGAGCAAAGUCAUACGAUUAUAUUAGAAAAUGAACCCAAAUGUAAGGGGGAAAGCCAUUGUCUGUGUUGGUGAAAUGUUCAGAUAUAAUUCCUUAUUUCAAAGUAUUGGAUAUUUUCCUGCCUUCGUUUUUGACACCUGCCUUGUUCACUCCCCUAGGGUCCUUUCUCUCCACCAAUUCUUGAAAACUGCGUGAAUAUCAGGCCUUUAGUUGCACACUCCUCAACUACCUUCAAAACGGUAUCAUUACACUCAACUCUUUAUUAUACUAUGGAAUGACUCAUGUCUGCUGGAUUAAUUGCUUGUUUUCCCUACCCUCCUUAUAAUCUCUUGAUUCUCAGUUCUAAGAGUCAGAGGACUUUGCUCAGUGUUGUAUCCUCCAGCCUUGGACUAAGAUACAGAAAAGUGUCUCCAUUAGUAUUAUUAAGUAUUUCUAGGAAAAAUGAGUAACUUGAUCAAGGGAGCUUACCUCGCCAGUGAUUUAGGCCUGUAUUGUUUUGUAGGGGGGACAACUUAGAACUGACAAAUUAAUGAAGUGCUACUUUGAAUAGUUUUGUAAAGGUUAACCUUUAAUAAUUUUCUGUGUUUUAGACAUUUAGUAAGUGAAUCUAAAGUUAAGAUGUACUUAUGUCUAGAACUCAAGGAAAAUAUGCAACUGAAAACUCUCAGUAUUGUUUCAUUAUUUUCUGUAAUUGAUAUGUUUUCUUUUCAUUCCAGAGUCUCUCCACAGAAGGCCACAAAUUGUCUAGCUCUCAAAAGGAUUAGGGUGCCCUCAGUGGCUCAGUAGCCAGUGUAGAUCCUGUCUUUGGUAAUCAGCAGCUACAUCUGGCUACUGGGUCUCUGAUGGCAUCAUCUAGCUUCAGCUGUGGUACCCAUAACAACGUUAUUGAAAUGAUAGCUUUAUCUAGAGCAACACACACAUGCACUGAUAGGCACACACACAGUUUUCAGUUCUAAUCUUCCAGUCGAUUUUGGAAGUCAUUCAGAGUUUGAAGAAUGAUGAGGAUAUUUGGGCCAUUGAUUGGUUUUCCUUCUUGUCCUCCUCUUUCCUCCCGUGAAUAUAUCAUUUUCUCUUUAGCUCUCUAUGUAUCAUCUUCCUAAAUGAUAUCUAUCAUUUCCUUAUCUGUACUUCCAUACAUCUCUUGACCAUUACAGGUCAUUUUAAAAUAGCAUGAUGAAUGAUCACCAAUAGAAUUAUUUGAGGAAAUUUCACCUAUUGGACCCUGGUCUGUUUCUGUUCUUCCUCCAUCAUUGUCCCACGAUAUAUAUGAAGAACUCUCCAGUCUCCAUAGAUUCUGAACAUUUUAUUAUGUUGCAACAACUCACUACACUGUUUGCUCCCUGAAAGCAUACUCUAGAAUUUAAUGGACUGUCCACUACCACUGACAAUUGCCUAGGAAAACAUAGGAGCAGCUAUCUGAUGAAAUAACAAGGAGCUUACAUAUAAAGAAUUCAAGAAUGACUUUCCAUGAUGAGAAGAAGGAAAUGGAAAUUGCUUCUAAAACACAGAUUUUAUAAUGUGGGUUAUCUACUCUUUUGAUAAAUAAAUGGAAACAUAGAAAUAAUUUUAGAAAGUAGCAAUGCAGUAUAAAAAUUUAUUAAUUGUUAUGUUAUAUAAACUAGAGACUUUCAUGAAGAAUUUAAGUGUUUUACAUUGUGACUUAACAAAUAAAAAAGGAGAAAAGGAGUACAAGUAAUGCAAAGAUCAAUGCUUGUAUAUAAUUAAUUGUUUAGUGAGUUUUUGUCACCUUGUGCUGAAUUUAAUGAAAAUAAAGCAAAUGACUUAUAAUUUUUAAAA